GCCCAGACUCCUACGGGAGGCAGCAGUGGGGAAUAUUGCACAAUGGGCGAAAGCCUGAUGCAGCAACGCCGCGUGAAGGAAGAAGGGUUUCGGCUCGUAAACUUCUCUUAACAGGGACGAAAGAAAUGACGGUACCUGAAUAAGAAGCCCCGGCUAACUACGUGCCAGCAGCCGCGGUAAUACGUAGGGGGCAAGCGUUAUCCGGAUUUACUGGGUGUAAAGGGAGCGUAGACGGCAUUGCAAGUCCGGAGUGAAAGCCCACGGCCCAACCGUGGGACUGCUCUGGAAACUGUAGAGCUGGAGUGCGGGAGGGGCAGGCGGAAUUCCUAGUGUAGCGGUGAAAUGCGUAGAUAUUAGGAGGAACACCGGCGGCGAAGGCGGCCUGCUGGACCGUAACUGACGUUGAGGCUCGAAAGCGUGGGGAGCAAACAGGAUUAGAUACCCUAGUA
RNAcentral lists this ribosomal RNA (449 nucleotides) under uncultured bacterium. RNAcentral's name for it is "bacterial SSU rRNA". It matches the Rfam family "Bacterial small subunit ribosomal RNA", at positions 329 to 792 of the family's 1533-position model. The record is from RNAcentral.